AGCCCAGAGUCUGAAUCAGCGCGUGUGUUAGUGGAACGGUCUGGAAAGUCCGGCGGUACAGGGUGAUAGCCCCGUACACUAAAAUGCACACGUUGUGAACUCGAAGAGUAGGGCGGGACACGUGGUAUCCUGUCUGAAUAUGGGGGGACCAUCCUCCAAGGCUAAAUACUCCUGACUGACCGAUAGUGAACCAGUACCGUGAGGGAAAGGCGAAAAGAACCCCGGCGAGGGGAGUGAAAAAGAACCUGAAACCGUGUACGUACAAGCAGUGGGAGCCUACUUGUUAGGUGACUGCGUACCUUUUGUAUAAUGGGUCAGCGACUUAUAUUCUGUAGCAAGGUUAACCGUAUAGGGGAGCCGCAGGGAAACCGAGUCUUAACUGGGCGUUAAGUUGCAGGGUAUAGACCCGAAACCCGGUGAUCUAGCCAUGGGCAGGUUGAAGGUUGGGUAACACUAACUGGAGGACCGAACCGACUAAUGUUGAAAAAUUAGCGGAUGACUUGUGGCUGGGGGUGAAAGGCCAAUCAAACCGGGAGAUAGCUGGUUCUCCCCGAAAGCUAUUUAGGUAGCGCCUCGUGAACUCAUCUUCGGGGGUAGAGCACUGUUUCGGCUAGGGGGUCAUCCCGACUUACCAACCCGAUGCAAACUACGAAUACCGAAGAAUGUUAUCACGGGAGACACACGGCGGGUGCUAACGUCCGUCGUGAAGAGGGAAACAACCCAGACCGCCAGCUAAGGUCCCAAAGUCAUGGUUAAGUGGGAAACGAUGUGGGAAGGCACAGACAGCCAGGAUGUUGGCUUAGAAGCAGCCAUCAUUUAAAGAAAGCGUAAUAGCUCACUGGUCGAGUCGGCCUGCGCGGAAGAUGUAACGGGGCUAAACCAUGCACCGAAGCUGCGGCAGCGACACUAUGUGUUGUUGGGUAGGGGAGCGUUCUGUAAGCCGUUGAAGGUGGCCUGUGAGGGUUGCUGGAGGUAUCAGAAGUGCGAAUGCUGACAUAAGUAACGAUAAAGCGGGUGAAAAGCCCGCUCGCCGGAAGACCAAGGGUUCCUGUCCAACGUUAAUCGGGGCAGGGUGAGUCGACCCCUAAGGCGAGGCCGAAAGGCGUAGUCGAUGGGAAACAGGUUAAUAUUCCUGUACUCGGUGUUACUGCGAAGGGGGGACGGAGAAGGCUAUGUUAGCCGGGCGACGGUUGUCCCGGUUUAAGCAUGUAGGCGG
Molecule: ribosomal RNA, 1216 nt
Filed under: Klebsiella ornithinolytica
Lineage: Bacteria; Pseudomonadati; Pseudomonadota; Gammaproteobacteria; Enterobacterales; Enterobacteriaceae
Description: partial 23S ribosomal RNA
Rfam family: Bacterial large subunit ribosomal RNA
Source: RNAcentral